Molecule: long non-coding RNA, 859 nt
Organism: Carya illinoinensis
Lineage: Eukaryota; Viridiplantae; Streptophyta; Magnoliopsida; Fagales; Juglandaceae
Exons: 3
Source: RefSeq, a predicted model, not a curated record
GCCCGGAUCUAUAACCGGGUUAACCCAGGUCGGGUUCUGGAUAAGCCUGGAACCCGGGCCAGAACCUGGUUGCACAGUCCCAUAAUAAAGAGCUGAAAAGGGUUCUUAGUCAUUCGCAGGCAAGUUCAGUGCGAGGGCACAUUAACUAGGUUGGGAUUGGUCAGGAAGCAGUUAACACUGCUGGAGCUGCAAAGGGAACGCAUAAUUCCAGACAUAAUAGAUUGGCAAUUCAAGGUCAACCCUUACAAGAUGCGAAUAAAUUACAGGCAGUAGAAUUACCAUUUCAUUUUUGUUUGCUUUUAGAACUGCUCUUAGUUGGUCAUCCAUGCCAACAGAUCUGUUUUCAAACUGAGUUUAAUUACUGAUUGUGGUAUAUAUUUCUCAGACAAGUAGAGUUUUCUCACUAGAGGAGGGUCCUGGAGUUCUUUUCAAGGCACUUGCUGUUUUUGCUCUGCAUCAAAUCAACCUUACAAUGGCAUUUCCUCUCAUCCUCAGUCCUCUAAUUCCGUUCUUUUCUCUUUUUCACCAGAUUGAAAGCAGCUGUUGGGAGCAUCAGGUGAUAACAGCAAUGACACUAUUUUAAUUCUUUUUCUUUACUCUCUUGCAGAGCAUGUUCUGUUUAUACUUGCAAAAUGCAAUUCUUCCUCUUCCACAACCAUAACUUGUUUCAGUUUUCAGAAAUCUACUCAUUAAGAGUGUAUCGAUUGAAAACAAUCACUUCUUAUUUGCCACACACUGUAUCUUUAAAUCAUAUUGCAAGUGCAUGGUACUAUUAAAUUUCAAAAGAACAGUUGAGCCUGUAAAUGAACCAGGUCUCAUCAUGCAUAGAGCUUUUGUGUAGUUUCUAAACACUUGUACG